ACGAACGCUGGCGGCGUGCUUAACACAUGCAAGUCGCACGGAAAGGCCCUGCUUUUGUGGGGUGCUCGAGUGGCGAACGGGUGAGUAACACGUGAGUAACCUGCCCUUGACUUUGGGAUAACUUCAGGAAACUGGGGCUAAUACCGGAUAGGAGCUCCCGCUGCAUGGUGGGGGUUGGAAAGUUUCGGCGGUUGGGGAUGGACUCGCGGCUUAUCAGCUUGUUGGUGGGGUAGUGGCUUACCAAGGCUUUGACGGGUAGCCGGCCUGAGAGGGUGACCGGCCACAUUGGGACUGAGAUACGGCCCAGACUCCUACGGGAGGCAGCAGUGGGGAAUAUUGCACAAUGGGCGGAAGCCUGAUGCAGCAACGCCGCGUGCGGGAUGACGGCCUUCGGGUUGUAAACCGCUUUCGCCUGUGACGAAGCGUGAGUGACGGUAAUGGGUAAAGAAGCACCGGCUAACUACGUG
This 467-nucleotide ribosomal RNA is filed under the name uncultured bacterium. RNAcentral's name for it is "partial 16S ribosomal RNA". It matches the Rfam family "Bacterial small subunit ribosomal RNA", at positions 29 to 507 of the family's 1533-position model. The record is from RNAcentral.